This 270-nucleotide ribosomal RNA is filed under the name uncultured bacterium. RNAcentral describes it as "partial 16S ribosomal RNA". It matches the Rfam family "Bacterial small subunit ribosomal RNA", at positions 28 to 303 of the family's 1533-position model. The record is from RNAcentral.
GAUGAACGCUGGCGGCAUGCUUCAUACAUGCAAGUCGAACGGAGGUAGUAAUAUCUCAGUGGCGACCGGGUGAGUAACACGUAGGUAAUCUACCUCGCAGUGGGGAAUAACUAUUCGAAAGAAUAGCUAAUACCGCAUACAGUCCGCCAAACCAGUGUUUGGUUGACCAAAGGUCUUCGGAUCGCUGCGAGAGGAGCCUGCGGCCCAUCAGCUAGUUGGAGAGGUAACGGCUCACCAAGGCGACGACGGGUAGGGGACCUGAGAGGGUGA